This 477-nucleotide ribosomal RNA is filed under the name uncultured bacterium. RNAcentral describes it as "bacterial SSU rRNA". It matches the Rfam family "Bacterial small subunit ribosomal RNA", at positions 10 to 507 of the family's 1533-position model. The record is from RNAcentral.
AGUUUGAUCAUGGCUCAGAUUGAACGCUGGCGGUAUGCUUAACACAUGCAAGUCGGACGGUAGCAGGCCUUCGGGCGCUGACGAGUGGCGGACGGGUGAGUAAUGCAUAGGAAUCUGCCUAUUAGUGGGGGACAACGUGGGGAAACUCACGCUAAUACCGCAUACGCCCUACGGGGGAAAGCUGGGGACCUUCGGGCCUGGCGCUAAUAGAUGAGCCUAUGUUGGAUUAGCUAGUUGGUAGGGUAAAGGCCUACCAAGGCGACGAUCCAUGGCUGGUCUGAGAGGAUGAUCAGCCACACUGGGACUGAGACACGGCCCAGACUCCUACGGGAGGCAGCAGUGGGGAAUAUUGGACAAUGGGCGAAAGCCUGACGCAGCCAACCCGCGUGUGUGAUGAAGGCCUUCGGGUUGUAAAGCACUGUCGUGAGGGAAGAAGAUCUGACGGUACCUCACAAGAAAGCACCGGCUAACUCCGUG